GGGUAGUUUGACUGGGGCGGUCUCCUCCUAAAGAGUAACGGAGGAGCACGAAGGUUGGCUAAUCCUGGUCGGACAUCAGGAGGUUAGUGCAAUGGCAUAAGCCAGCUUGACUGCGAGCGUGACGGCGCGAGCAGGUGCGAAAGCAGGUCAUAGUGAUCCGGUGGUUCUGAAUGGAAGGGCCAUCGCUCAACGGAUAAAAGGUACUCCGGGGAUAACAGGCUGAUACCGCCCAAGAGUUCAUAUCGACGGCGGUGUUUGGCACCUCGAUGUCGGCUCAUCACAUCCUGGGGCUGAAGUAGGUCCCAAGGGUAUGGCUGUUCGCCAUUUAAAGUGGUACGCGAGCUGGGUUUAGAACGUCGUGAGACAGUUCGGUCCCUAUCUGCCGUGGGCGCUGGAGAACUGAGGGGGGCUGCUCCUAGUACGAGAGGACCGGAGUGGACGCAUCACUGGUGUUCGGGUUGUCAUGCCAAUGGCACUGCCCGGUAGCUAAAUGCGGAAGAGAUAAGUGCUGAAAGCAUCUAAGCACGAAACUUGCCCCGAGAUGAGUUCUCCCUGACCCUUUAAGGGUCCUGAAGGAACGUUGAAGACGACGACGUUGAUAGGCCGGGUGUGUAAGCGCAGCGAUGCGUUG
This 631-nucleotide ribosomal RNA is filed under the name Escherichia coli. Its description in RNAcentral is "partial 23S ribosomal RNA". It matches the Rfam family "Bacterial large subunit ribosomal RNA", at positions 2263 to 2888 of the family's 2925-position model. Lineage: Bacteria; Pseudomonadati; Pseudomonadota; Gammaproteobacteria; Enterobacterales; Enterobacteriaceae. The record is from RNAcentral.